Panthera uncia (snow leopard) is the source of this 368-nucleotide long non-coding RNA. RefSeq lists it as uncharacterized. The record is from RefSeq and is a predicted model, not a curated record. The transcript has 6 exons. Lineage: Eukaryota; Metazoa; Chordata; Mammalia; Carnivora; Felidae.
UAGAUGGGGAGCAGAUGAGAUGGGAUUGUUGUGAAAUGGGGUUCAAAGAGGAGAAAUUCUAGGGGGAAAGGGGUGGGACAAAGUAUGACUUGGGCAGCGGAGCUGGGGCCUAGAGCUAUCUCCAACUUCAGCUCCAGAGUCUCUGGUUUCUGUUCAAGGACAAACGGCACAGCAUACUUUCCAAGAUCAAGAACAAAGGACCUCCAUACAGCAGAAUAGAAAAUCCACUGAUGACACCAUGCAACCAAAGGAAAUACAGCUAACAAUAACUGAAACCCUCUGGGACCAAGUACUAAUGGCUUUUAGGGAUAUACAAAAAGAGCUGCAGGAAGAUGCUCGGAUUCGAGGUAAAAAAGCAGUAUUUCAAG